GAUGAACGCUGGCGGCGUGCCUAAUACAUGCAAGUCGAGCGAACAGACGAGGAGCUUGCUCCUUUGACGUUAGCGGCGGACGGGUGAGUAACACGUAGGUAACCUACCUAUAAGACUGGGAUAACUUCGGGAAACCGGAGCUAAUACCGGAUAAUAUUUCGAACCGCAUGGUUCGAUAGUGAAAGAUGGCUUUGCUAUCACUUAUAGAUGGACCUGCGCCGUAUUAGCUAGUUGGUAAGGUAACGGCUUACCAAGGCAACGAUACGUAGCCGACCUGAGAGGGUGAUCAGCCACACUGGAACUGAGACACGGUCCAGACUCCUACGGGAGGCAGCAGUAGGGAAUCUUCCGCAAUGGGCGAAAGCCUGACGGAGCAACGCCGCGUGAGUGAUGAAGGUCUUCGGAUCGUAAAGCUCUGUUAUUAGGGAAGAACAACCGUGUAAGUAACUGUGCACGUCUUGACGGUACCUAAUCAGAAAGCAACGGCUAACUACGUG
RNAcentral lists this ribosomal RNA (497 nucleotides) under uncultured bacterium. Its description in RNAcentral is "partial 16S ribosomal RNA". It matches the Rfam family "Bacterial small subunit ribosomal RNA", at positions 28 to 507 of the family's 1533-position model. The record is from RNAcentral.